AGAAUCAACGCUGGCGGCGUGCCUCAGACAUGCAAGUCGAACGCGAAAGAGGGCUUCGGCCUUCGAGUAGAGUGGCGCACGGGUGAGUAAGACGUAGGUAAUUUACCUUUGGGUGUGGAAUAGCGGCUGGAAACGGCCAUUAAUACCGCAUAACGCAGCGGCAUCUUUGGAUGACAGUUGUUAAAGCGGGGGCGGGAGCAAUCCCUCCUCGCGCCAGAAGAGAAGCCUACGGCGGAUUAGCUAGUUGGUGAGGUAAUGGCUCACCAAGGCCGUGAUCCGUA
Molecule: ribosomal RNA, 281 nt
Filed under: uncultured soil bacterium
Lineage: Bacteria
Description: partial 16S ribosomal RNA
Rfam family: Bacterial small subunit ribosomal RNA
Source: RNAcentral